RNAcentral lists this ribosomal RNA (253 nucleotides) under uncultured bacterium. Its description in RNAcentral is "partial 16S ribosomal RNA". It matches the Rfam family "Bacterial small subunit ribosomal RNA", at positions 524 to 776 of the family's 1533-position model. The record is from RNAcentral.
UACGGAGGGUGCAAGCGUUAUCCGGAUUCACUGGGUUUAAAGGGUGUGUAGGCGGGCUAUUAAGUCAGUGGUGAAAUCUCAGGGCUCAACCCUGAAACUGCCAUUGAUACUAUUAGUCUUGAAUAUCGUUGAGGUUGGCGGAAUAUAUCAUGUAGCGGUGAAAUGCAUAGAUAUGAUAUAGAACACCGAUUGCGAAGGCAGCUAACUAAGCGAUGAUUGACGCUGAGGCACGAAAGCGUGGGGAUCAAACAGG